This 370-nucleotide ribosomal RNA is filed under the name Salmonella enterica subsp. enterica. Its description in RNAcentral is "partial 16S ribosomal RNA". It matches the Rfam family "Bacterial small subunit ribosomal RNA", at positions 69 to 435 of the family's 1533-position model. Lineage: Bacteria; Pseudomonadati; Pseudomonadota; Gammaproteobacteria; Enterobacterales; Enterobacteriaceae. The record is from RNAcentral. RNAcentral also lists the same sequence under 2 other names.
GUAACAGGAAGCAGCUUGCUGCUUCGCUGACGAGUGGCGGACGGGUGAGUAAUGUCUGGGAAACUGCCUGAUGGAGGGGGAUAACUACUGGAAACGGUGGCUAAUACCGCAUAACGUCGCAAGACCAAAGAGGGGGACCUUCGGGCCUCUUGCCAUCAGAUGUGCCCAGAUGGGAUUAGCUUGUUGGUGAGGUAACGGCUCACCAAGGCGACGAUCCCUAGCUGGUCUGAGAGGAUGACCAGCCACACUGGAACUGAGACACGGUCCAGACUCCUACGGGAGGCAGCAGUGGGGAAUAUUGCACAAUGGGCGCAAGCCUGAUGCAGCCAUGCCGCGUGUAUGAAGAAGGCCUUCGGGUUGUAAAGUACUU